This 492-nucleotide ribosomal RNA is filed under the name uncultured bacterium. RNAcentral describes it as "partial 16S ribosomal RNA". It matches the Rfam family "Bacterial small subunit ribosomal RNA", at positions 29 to 507 of the family's 1533-position model. The record is from RNAcentral.
AGUGAACGCUGGCGGUAGGCCUAACACAUGCAAGUCGAACGGCAGCACAGUAAGAGCUUGCUCUUACGGGUGGCGAGUGGCGGACGGGUGAGGAAUACAUCGGAAUCUACUUUUUCGUGGGGGAUAACGUAGGGAAGCUUACGCUAAUACCGCAUACGACGUACGGGUGAAAGCAGGGGAUAUUCGGACCUUGCCCGAUUGAUUUAGCCGAUGUCGGAUUAGCUAGUUGGCGGGGUAAAGGCCCACCAAGGCGAGGAUCCGUAGCGGGUCUGAGCGGAUGAUCAGCCACACUGGAACUGAGACACGGUCCAGACUCCUACGGGAGGCAGCAGUGGGGAAUAUUGGACAAUGGGCGCAAGCCUGAUCCAGCCAUACCGCGUGGGUGAAGAAGGCCUUCGGGUUGUAAAGCCCUUUUGUUGGGAAAGAAAAGCAGCAGGUUAAUACCCCGCUGUUCUGACGGUACCCAAAGAAUAAGCACCGGCUAACUUCGUG